Pieris napi is the source of this 408-nucleotide long non-coding RNA. RefSeq lists it as uncharacterized. NCBI's taxonomy places the organism in Eukaryota, Metazoa, Arthropoda, Insecta, Lepidoptera, Pieridae. The record is from RefSeq and is a predicted model, not a curated record. The transcript is spliced from 2 exons.
UAUUUGUGUGUUGGAAUUAAAAAUUAUUUACUUCCUGAAAUGUAUUUUAAUUAUAAUAUUAUAUCCAUGUUAAUAUUAAUUACUAUUUUGUAUUGGCCUUGAAGAAAACGAUUAUAAGGCGACAUUAAUUUGUUUCUGUUACACUUCAAUUCAAGUUGUGGCAAAUUUCAAAAUGAAGGUACUUCUGUAUAUCACAGUUUUUUCGCUAAUUGCGUUGUCUAUCGCUGCACCACCAGGAUCCCCCCUUCUAUUGGUAGUAAAGAGGUAAAUGAAGCUGUUAAGCCAAAAGAAGCAGAAGCUAAUGCAGCAGCAGAAGCUAAUGCGGCAAACGAUGCAAAUGCAGCAAACGAAGCGAAUGCGGUAAACGAAGCAAAUGCAGCCAACGAAGCAAAUGCGGCUGAUCCGGAA